AUUCAGCGGCGGACGGGUGAGUAAUGCCUAGGAAUCUGCCUGGUAGUGGGGGACAACGUUUCGAAAGGAACGCUAAUACCGCAUACGUCCUACGGGAGAAAGCAGGGGACCUUCGGGCCUUGCGCUAUCAGAUGAGCCUAGGUCGGAUUAGCUAGUUGGUGAGGUAAUGGCUCACCAAGGCGACGAUCCGUAACUGGUCUGAGAGGAUGAUCAGUCACACUGGAACUGAGACACGGUCCAGACUCCUACGGGAGGCAGCAGUGGGGAAUAUUGGACAAUGGGCGAAAGCCUGAUCCAGCCAUGCCGCGUGUGUGAAGAAGGUCUUCGGAUUGUAAAGCACUUUAAGUUGGGAGGAAGGGUUGUAGAUUAAUACUCUGCAAUUUUGACGUUACCGACAGAAUAAGCACCGGCUAACUCUGUGCCAGCAGCCGCGGUAAUACAGAGGGUGCAAGCGUUAAUCGGAAUUACUGGGCGUAAAGCGCGCGUAGGUGGUUCGUUAAGUUGGAUGUGAAAUCCCCGGGCUCAACCUGGGAACUGCAUCCAAAACUGGCGAGCUAGAGUAUGGUAGAGGGUGGUGGAAUUUCCUGUGUAGCGGUGAAAU
Molecule: ribosomal RNA, 601 nt
Filed under: Pseudomonas sp. UFLA02-277
Lineage: Bacteria; Pseudomonadati; Pseudomonadota; Gammaproteobacteria; Pseudomonadales; Pseudomonadaceae
Also listed under: 1 other name
Description: bacterial SSU rRNA
Rfam family: Bacterial small subunit ribosomal RNA
Source: RNAcentral